RNAcentral lists this ribosomal RNA (357 nucleotides) under Acinetobacter baumannii. RNAcentral's name for it is "bacterial SSU rRNA". It matches the Rfam family "Bacterial small subunit ribosomal RNA", at positions 1 to 358 of the family's 1533-position model. Lineage: Bacteria; Pseudomonadati; Pseudomonadota; Gammaproteobacteria; Moraxellales; Moraxellaceae. The record is from RNAcentral. RNAcentral also lists the same sequence under 1 other name.
UUUAACUGAAGAGUUUGAUCAUGGCUCAGAUUGAACGCUGGCGGCAGGCUUAACACAUGCAAGUCGAGCGGGGGAAGGUAGCUUGCUACCGGACCUAGCGGCGGACGGGUGAGUAAUGCUUAGGAAUCUGCCUAUUAGUGGGGGACAACAUCUCGAAAGGGAUGCUAAUACCGCAUACGUCCUACGGGAGAAAGCAGGGGAUCUUCGGACCUUGCGCUAAUAGAUGAGCCUAAGUCGGAUUAGCUAGUUGGUGGGGUAAAGGCCUACCAAGGCGACGAUCUGUAGCGGGUCUGAGAGGAUGAUCCGCCACACUGGGACUGAGACACGGCCCAGACUCCUACGGGAGGCAGCAGUGGG